This 310-nucleotide long non-coding RNA is filed under the name Pan troglodytes (chimpanzee). RNAcentral describes it as "lincRNA". The record is from RNAcentral. Lineage: Eukaryota; Metazoa; Chordata; Mammalia; Primates; Hominidae.
CAGAUGAAAAUACUGAGGUAGAGAAAAGUUAAGUAAGUUCCCCAAAGAGAAAUACACAGCUAAGAAGUGUUAGUUUAACUUGACCAUGUGGCAGAAGGCCAGAUAUGCAAAGAAAAACAUGGGGGAAUGGAUCAAGAAUGCAAUAAUACAAGAGGACAUCACCAAGGGAAUGAGCCUAGACCAAGAAAGGUACUACAAACUGGGUCUGAAGCACUGUGAACAGGGUAGAAGAAGAAGAGCAAAACAUAAAACCUGUUUCAGAGAAUGAGUGACAAGUUUUGUUGGGUCAAAUACAGCGACUGCUUAUGUA